This 75-nucleotide transfer RNA is filed under the name Caudoviricetes sp. Its description in RNAcentral is "tRNA-Trp". It matches the Rfam family "tRNA". Rfam says of the family: Transfer RNA (tRNA) molecules are approximately 80 nucleotides in length. Their secondary structure includes four short double-helical elements and three loops (D, anti-codon, and T loops). Further hydrogen bonds mediate the characteristic L-shaped molecular structure. tRNAs have two regions of fundamental functional importance: the anti-codon, which is responsible for specific mRNA codon recognition, and the 3' end, to which the tRNAs corresponding amino acid is attached (by aminoacyl-tRNA synthetases). tRNAs cope with the degeneracy of the genetic code in two manners: having more than one tRNA (with a specific anti-codon) for a particular amino acid; and 'wobble' base-pairing, i.e. permitting non-standard base-pairing at the 3rd anti-codon position. Lineage: Duplodnaviria; Heunggongvirae; Uroviricota; Caudoviricetes. The record is from RNAcentral.
GCAAGAUUGAUGUAAUUGGUAGCAUGACAGUCUCCAAAACUGUUUGUUUAGGUUCAAAUCCUAAGUCUUGUGCCA